UCCUAUUUUCCCCUUUUUCCCUCCCUCGCGCGGUCUCUUUUGCUUCACUCCUAAAAUCUCUGCAAACAAAAAUCCCCAAAAACAGAAGCCCUGACUUCGACGACUUCUCUCUUGAUGACUCCUAAAAUCUCUUGCUUCACUUCCCGUGGAUUUAGCACACAAGCAAUGACGUCAACGAACCCUUCAAUUCACGUGAUCGAUCGAAGCCCUAGCUCAACAUCACUGGUCAUUGCAUGAGAUCUCACCGUUGCAGAUUUUGCGGAUUCUGGGGGUGUUCAGCAGCCAAUUUGAUGGACUUUUGAGUUGGAAUAUUGGUACCGGAGAUGAACUAUGAUAUCACUUUUUGGCAGAAUGGAGCAUGGAGUCACUUUUUGCAGCUGUUCAGAACUAACUUAAACUUAGUUACAGCUUGGAGUAUGAAGUCCACUUUUUGUUACUUUAUCAUGGACUUUACCUAGUAUUUAUAGUUUUGGAUGUGGUGUUACUAAACACAUAUUGGAAAACAAGUACGUUGUGGAAUUUGUAGUUUUUGGGGAUGGUUGAUGACUGUUGCUUUUGAGAAACAUAUAUAUUAUGUGGUUAUUAAUGUUGUCAAGGAUUUUAUUGUUAA
Rhododendron vialii is the source of this 610-nucleotide long non-coding RNA. RefSeq lists it as uncharacterized. The transcript has 3 exons. NCBI's taxonomy places the organism in Eukaryota, Viridiplantae, Streptophyta, Magnoliopsida, Ericales, Ericaceae. The record is from RefSeq and is a predicted model, not a curated record.